RNAcentral lists this ribosomal RNA (253 nucleotides) under uncultured bacterium. RNAcentral describes it as "partial 16S ribosomal RNA". It matches the Rfam family "Bacterial small subunit ribosomal RNA", at positions 524 to 776 of the family's 1533-position model. The record is from RNAcentral.
UACGGAGGGUGCUAGCGUUGUUCGGAAUCACUGGGCGUAAAGGGCGCGCAGGCGGCCCGGCCAGUCGGACGUGAAAGCCCGGGGCUCAACCCCGGAACGGCGUCCGAGACGGCCGGGCUGGAGACCGGGAGAGGAGGGUGGAAUAGCCAGUGUAGAGGUGAAAUUCGUAGAUAUCGGCUGGAACACCGGUGGCGAAAGCGGCUCUCUGGCCCGGGUCUGACGCUGAGGCGCGAAAGCGUGGGGAGCAAACAGG